Molecule: ribosomal RNA, 253 nt
Filed under: uncultured bacterium
Lineage: Bacteria
Description: partial 16S ribosomal RNA
Rfam family: Bacterial small subunit ribosomal RNA
Source: RNAcentral
UACGUAGGCAGCAAGCGUUGUUCGGAGUUACUGGGCGUAAAGAGUGUGUAGGCGGUUCUCUAAGUUCGGUGUGAACUCUCCCGGCUCAACUGGGAGGGUGCGCCGAAAACUUGAGGGCUUGAGUAUGGGAGAGGAAAGCGGAAUUCCUGGUGUAGCGGUGAAAUGCGUAGAUAUCAGGAGGAACACCUGCGGUGUAGACAGCUUACUGGACCACGACUGACGCUGAGGCACGAAAGCGUGGGUAGCAAACAGG